This 1000-nucleotide ribosomal RNA is filed under the name Peribacillus simplex. RNAcentral describes it as "bacterial SSU rRNA". It matches the Rfam family "Bacterial small subunit ribosomal RNA", at positions 164 to 1153 of the family's 1533-position model. Lineage: Bacteria; Bacillati; Bacillota; Bacilli; Caryophanales; Bacillaceae. The record is from RNAcentral.
AUAAACGGGAUACUUUCUUUUUCGCAAGAGAAGAGGGGAAAGGCGGUUUUAGCUUUUAAUAAAAGAGGCGCCCGGCGGCCCUAAGGUAAGUGGGGAGGUAAGGCUCACCAGGGGGAAGUUGGUUAGCCAACUGAGAAGGUUUUUGGCCCACGUGGGGAAUGAGCCCCGGCCCAGAUUUCUACGGGAGGCAGCAGUAGGAAUCUUCCGCAAUGGAAGAAAGUCUGAAGGAGCAACGCCGCGUGAACGAAGAAGGCCUUCGGGUCGUAAAGUUCUGGUGUUAGGGAAGAACAAGUACCAGAGUAACUGCUGGUACCUUGACGGUACCUAACCAGAAAGCCACGGCUAACUACGUGCCAGCAGCCGCGGUAAUACGUAGGUGGCAAGCGUUGUCCGGAAUUAUUGGGCGUAAAGCGCGCGCAGGUGGUUCCUUAAGUCUGAUGUGAAAGCCCACGGCUCAACCGUGGAGGGUCAUUGGAAACUGGGGAACUUGAGUGCAGAAGAGGAAAGUGGAAUUCCAAGUGUAGCGGUGAAAUGCGUAGAGAUUUGGAGGAACACCAGUGGCGAAGGCGACUUUCUGGUCUGUAACUGACACUGAGGCGCGAAAGCGUGGGGAGCAAACAGGAUUAGAUACCCUGGUAGUCCACGCCGUAAACGAUGAGUGCUAAGUGUUAGAGGGUUUCCGCCCUUUAGUGCUGCAGCUAACGCAUUAAGCACUCCGCCUGGGGAGUACGGCCGCAAGGCUGAAACUCAAAGGAAUUGACGGGGGCCCGCACAAGCGGUGGAGCAUGUGGUUUAAUUCGAAGCAACGCGAAGAACCUUACCAGGUCUUGACAUCCUCUGACAACCCUAGAGAUAGGGCUUUCCCCUUCGGGGGACAGAGUGACAGGUGGUGCAUGGUUGUCGUCAGCUCGUGUCGUGAGAUGUUGGGUUAAGUCCCGCAACGAGCGCAACCCUUGAUCUUAGUUGCCAGCAUUCAGUUGGGCACUCUAAGGUGACUGCC